RNAcentral lists this ribosomal RNA (59 nucleotides) under Streptococcus pseudopneumoniae. Its description in RNAcentral is "partial 16S ribosomal RNA". The record is from RNAcentral. Lineage: Bacteria; Bacillati; Bacillota; Bacilli; Lactobacillales; Streptococcaceae.
UUUAAUGAGAGUUUGAUCCUGGCUCAGGACGAACGCUGGCGGCGGCGGAAGAGAUGCAA